GGGGGUGAAAAGCCCGAAGAUACUGGCUUACAGUAAAGUUAAAGAGGUUUUUCGAGCACCUGGCUUUGCUUAAGAAGAGCUCGGAUAAGCUUGUAGAUGCUGUAUGAAAGGUUCUCAAGACGGGGGUUCGAUUCCCCCCAUCUCCACCA
RNAcentral lists this transfer RNA (149 nucleotides) under Patescibacteria group bacterium. Its description in RNAcentral is "tRNA-His". It matches the Rfam family "transfer-messenger RNA", at positions 222 to 374 of the family's 374-position model. From Rfam's summary of the family: Bacterial tmRNA, also known as 10Sa RNA or SsrA, is named for its dual tRNA and mRNA-like properties. The record is from RNAcentral.